Molecule: ribosomal RNA, 23 nt
Filed under: Moniliophthora brasiliensis
Lineage: Eukaryota; Fungi; Basidiomycota; Agaricomycetes; Agaricales; Marasmiaceae
Description: partial small subunit ribosomal RNA
Source: RNAcentral
AGUGAACCUGCGGAAGGAUCAUU